GGCGGCGGCCGCGACUGGCGAGGGUGGGAACGACCACCGGGGAGCGGCCGGACAACCUGCUGGUGCGUCGACCGCCUGGGCGCCUGGG
Molecule: non-coding RNA, 88 nt
Filed under: Cellulosimicrobium sp. CUA-896
Lineage: Bacteria; Bacillati; Actinomycetota; Actinomycetes; Micrococcales; Promicromonosporaceae
Also listed under: 1 other name
Description: ZMP/ZTP riboswitch aptamer (pfl RNA motif)
Rfam family: ZMP/ZTP riboswitch aptamer (pfl RNA motif)
About the family: Previously known as pfl RNA.
Source: Rfam by way of RNAcentral